AUUAUCUUGGAGUUGCAUCUUUAUUUGAUAUUCUUUCAUUUCUGUUAUCAUGUUAUUGAUUUCAAUUUUGAAUUUUUCAAACAGAGAGGCAAAUGCAUCUUCAAAAAAAGCCUUUGUAACAGUCUGGUCUUUUUCUGUAUUAGUUGGGAGAUUUUUUUGUACUGCUUCUUGCAUGUUGAUUAUACGUUCUUCCAAAUCAUUCCCCUCUGAAUUUGAUUUAUUUGUUUGGGGGGAAAAAAAAGGAGAGUCGCU
Pelobates cultripes (western spadefoot toad) is the source of this 252-nucleotide non-coding RNA. The record is from the annotation of a GenBank genome assembly. NCBI's taxonomy places the organism in Eukaryota, Metazoa, Chordata, Amphibia, Anura, Pelobatidae.